Molecule: ribosomal RNA, 254 nt
Filed under: uncultured bacterium
Lineage: Bacteria
Description: partial 16S ribosomal RNA
Rfam family: Bacterial small subunit ribosomal RNA
Source: RNAcentral
CACGUAGGGUGCGAGCGUUGUCCGGAAUUAUUGGGCGUAAAGAGCUCGUAGGCGGUGUGUCGCGUCGGCCGUGAAAACCUGCAGCUUAACUGUGGGCUUGCGGUCGAUACGGGCAUCACUGGAGUUCGGCAGGGGAGACUGGAAUUCCUGGUGUAGCGGUGAAAUUCGUAGAUAUCGGGAGGAACACCAGUGGCGAAGGCGGCGAUCUGGGUCGAUACUGACGCUGAGGUGCGAAAGCGUGGGGAGCAAACAGG